AUGAACGCUGGCGGCGUGCCUAAUACAUGCAAGUCGAGCGAACGGACGAGAAGCUUGCUUCUCUGAUGUUAGCGGCGGCCGGGUGAGUAACACGUGGAUAACCUACCUAUAAGACUGGGAUAACUUCGGGAAACCGGAGCUAAUACCGGAUAAUAUUUUGAACCGCCUGGUUCAAAAGUUAAAGACGGUCUUGCUGUCACUUAUAGAUGGAUCCGCGCUGCAUUAGCUAGUUGGUAAGGUAACGGCUUACCAAGGCAACGAUGCAUAGCCGACCUGAGAGGGGGAUCGGCCACACUGGAACUGAGACACGGUCCAGACUCCUACGGGAGGCAGCAGUAGGGAAUCUUCCGCAAUGGGCGAAAGCCUGACGGAGCAACGCCGCGUGAGUGAUGAAGGUCUUCGGAUCGUAAAACUCUGUUAUUAGGGAAGAACAUAUGUGUAAGUAACUGUGCACAUCUUGACGGUACCUAAUCAGAAAGCCACGGCUAACUACGU
Molecule: ribosomal RNA, 495 nt
Filed under: uncultured bacterium
Lineage: Bacteria
Description: partial 16S ribosomal RNA
Rfam family: Bacterial small subunit ribosomal RNA
Source: RNAcentral